GUCGAACGAACUCUGGUAUUGAUUGGUGCUUGCAUCAUGAUUUACAUUUGAGUGAGUGGCGAACUGGUGAGUAACACGUGGGAAACCUGCCCAGAAGCGGGGGAUAACACCUGGAAACAGAUGCUAAUACCGCAUAACAACUUGGACCGCAUGGUCCGAGUUUGAAAGAUGGCUUCGGCUAUCACUUUUGGAUGGUCCCGCGGCGUAUUAGCUAGAUGGUGGGGUAACGGCUCACCAUGGCAAUGAUACGUAGCCGACCUGAGAGGGUAAUCGGCCACAUUGGGACUGAGACACGGCCCAAACUCCUACGGGAGGCAGCAGUAGGGAAUCUUCCACAAUGGACGAAAGUCUGAUGGAGCAACGCCGCGUGAGUGAAGAAGGGUUUCGGCUCGUAAAACUCUGUUGUUAAAGAAGAACAUAUCUGAGAGUAACUGUUCAGGUAUUGACGGUAUUUAACCAGAAAGCCACGGCUAACUACGUGCCAGCAGCCGCGGUAAUACGUAGGUGGCAAGCGUUGUCCGGAUUUAUUGGGCGUAAAGCGAGCGCAGGCGGUUUUUUAAGUCUGAUGUGAAAGCCUUCGGCUCAACCGAAGAAGUGCAUCGGAAACUGGGAAACUUGAGUGCAGAAGAGGACAGUGGAACUCCAUGUGUAGCGGUGAAAUGCGUAGAUAUAUGGAAGAACACCAGUGGCGAAGGCGGCUGUCUGGUCUGUAACUGACGCUGAGGCUCGAAAGUAUGGGUAGCAAACAGGAUUAGAUACCCUGGUAGUCCAUACCGUAAACGAUGAAUGCUAAGUGUUGGAGGGUUUCCGCCCUUCAGUGCUGCAGCUAACGCAUUAAGCAUUCCGCCUGGGGAGUACGGCCGCAAGGCUGAAACUCAAAGGAAUUGACGGGGGCCCGCACAAGCGGUGGAGCAUGUGGUUUAAUUCGAAGCUACGCGAAGAACCUUACCAGGUCUUGACAUACUAUGCAAAUCUAAGAGAUUAGACGUUCCCUUCGGGGACAUGGAUACAGGUGGUGCAUGGUUGUCGUCAGCUCGUGUCGUGAGAUGUUGGGUUAAGUCCCGCAACGAGCGCAACCCUUAUUAUCAGUUGCCAGCAUUAAGUUGGGCACUCUGGUGAGACUGCCGGUGACAAACCGGAGGAAGGUGGGGAUGACGUCAAAUCAUCAUGCCCCUUAUGACCUGGGCUACACACGUGCUACAAUGGAUGGUACAACGAGUUGCGAACUCGCGAGAGUAAGCUAAUCUCUUAAAGCCAUUCUCAGUUCGGAUUGUAGGCUGCAACUCGCCUACAUGAAGUCGGAAUCGCUAGUAAUCGCGGAUCAGCAUGCCGCGGUGAAUACGUUCCCGGGCCUUGUACGCACCGCCCGUCACACCAUGAGAGUUUGUAACACCCAA
Molecule: ribosomal RNA, 1397 nt
Filed under: Lactiplantibacillus plantarum
Lineage: Bacteria; Bacillati; Bacillota; Bacilli; Lactobacillales; Lactobacillaceae
Description: bacterial SSU rRNA
Rfam family: Bacterial small subunit ribosomal RNA
Source: RNAcentral